ACACAUUCUCACUUUGUCACCAGGCUGGAGUGCAGUGGAGCAAUCUCGGUUCGCUGCAAUCUCUACUUCCUGGGUUCAAGUGAUUCUCCUGUCUCAGCCUCCUAAGUAGCUGGGACUCCAGGCGCAUACCACCAUGACUGGCUAAUUUUUGUAUUUUUAGUAGAGACGGGGUUUCACCAUGUUGGCCAGGCUGGUCUUGAACUUCUGGCCCCAAGUCAUCUGCCUGCCUCAGCCUCCCAAAGUGCUGGGAUUACAAGUGUGAGCCACUGUGUACAGCCUUUGUGUUAACUUACUUUGAAUUAGCCCCUUAUUCCAAAGCUGCCUCCUGAAAGGAGGCUUCCUAAAAGGUGUUGCUUUGGGGUAAAUAAGAGGUGCUGGUGAAGUGAGACUAGCUUGCGCAUCUCUCUGCCAUGAAGGAAACUAGCUCCGCAGAUGUUUUACUAACCACAGCAGACCCACUCCUUGAGGAACCCAGAAGGGCAGAGAGCAUCAGAUGAAAUCAACUGCUGAGAGAGGGAAGUGAGUGCUGUGUUGGCACCGCUGCCAGAAACUCUUGAGAAUGAGCAUCGUGUGCCACUUAUCCACUGCUUGCCGACUUCAGUAGCAAGAGCCUCCAGAAUGCUCAUGGAUAAACAUCAUCUUUGUGGCCACACAUUGUUUUAUGAGCUGAGUCAUCAGACUGGCUGGCUCCUUAAAUGCUGCUGUGUGAUUCUCUAGGCAGCAGAAAACAAGGAGAGAAGAUAUGAAGUGUAUCUCAUCGAGCUUUGUAGAGGGCCAGUAUCAUUCACCAAAGGUGAUGGGGGAUUUACCAUUAUGGAGUUUGCUUGUGAUAAAAAAUUAUUGAU
RNAcentral lists this long non-coding RNA (845 nucleotides) under Pan troglodytes (chimpanzee). RNAcentral's name for it is "lincRNA". Lineage: Eukaryota; Metazoa; Chordata; Mammalia; Primates; Hominidae. The record is from RNAcentral.